This 471-nucleotide ribosomal RNA is filed under the name uncultured bacterium. RNAcentral's name for it is "bacterial SSU rRNA". It matches the Rfam family "Bacterial small subunit ribosomal RNA", at positions 355 to 825 of the family's 1533-position model. The record is from RNAcentral.
UGGGGAAUUGUUCACAAUGGGCGCAAGCCUGAUGACGCAACGCCGCGUGGAGGAUGAAGGUCUUCGGAUUGUAAACUCCUGUUGCUCGGGACGAAAAGCUUCGACCUAACACGUCGAAGUCUGACGGUACCGAGUGAGGAAGCCCCGGCUAACUCUGUGCCAGCAGCCGCGGUAAUACAGAGGGGGCAAGCGUUGUUCGGUAUUACUGGGCGUAAAGGGCGCGUAGGUGGCCUUCUAAGUCGAACGUGAAAUCCCUGGGCUCAACCCAGGAACUGCGUCCGAGACUGGGAGGCUUGAAUCCGGGAGAGGGAUGCGGAAUUCCAGGUGUAGCGGUGAAAUGCGUAGAUAUCUGGAGGAACACCGGUGGCGAAGGCGGCAUCCUGGACCGGUAUUGACACUGAGGCGCGAAAGCCAGGGGAGCAAACGGGAUUAGAUACCCUAGUAGUCCCUGAGCGGGCUGGCAAGGCGCAU